GCGUGAGUGAAGAAGGCCUUAGGGUUGUAAAGCUCUUUUACCCGGGAUGAUAAUGACAGUACCGGGAGAAUAAGCUCCGGCUAACUCCGUGCCAGCAGCCGCGGUAAUACGGAGGGAGCUAGCGUUGUUCGGAAUCACUGGGCGUAAAGCGCACGUAGGCGGCUUUGUAAGUUAGAGGUGAAAGCCCGGGGCUCAACUCCGGAACUGCCUUUAAGACUGCAUCGCUUGAAUCUGGGAGAGGUAAGUGGAAUUCCGAGUGUAGAGGUGAAAUUCGU
RNAcentral lists this ribosomal RNA (275 nucleotides) under uncultured bacterium. RNAcentral's name for it is "partial 16S ribosomal RNA". It matches the Rfam family "Bacterial small subunit ribosomal RNA", at positions 399 to 691 of the family's 1533-position model. The record is from RNAcentral.